UCCAAUGGGUGUCCUCAGUGUGGGAAA
Molecule: non-coding RNA, 27 nt
Filed under: Homo sapiens (human)
Lineage: Eukaryota; Metazoa; Chordata; Mammalia; Primates; Hominidae
Source: RNAcentral